Molecule: unclassified non-coding RNA, 1031 nt
Filed under: Hevea brasiliensis (rubber tree)
Lineage: Eukaryota; Viridiplantae; Streptophyta; Magnoliopsida; Malpighiales; Euphorbiaceae
Source: RNAcentral
CUUGCAGUACCAGGAGGAGCCUUAUCCAGGAGAAAACCCAAAACAUCAAAUGAUUAUGCUAUAGCACAUGCAUAAAGCAAUCUAAAUAUGCAAUAUGUAUACACUUGCAUACAGAAUACAUAACCCAGCGAGUUAUUAUGGCCCAUUAGCAUACCAAAAAUUGCAGAGAAGAUGCAUAAGUUUAACAAAACAGAAAGAGUGGAAAAGUUCACAAGUUCCAUAAAACUUCUUCCUUAAAAACAAGAUAAUUUAUGUGAUGAUGGUAUUUUAGAUGCCAAUGAUUACAAAAAGAAAUCCAAAAAAUAUGAAAAACAAAUAAAUUAUUAUGCGCAUAAAAUGACUUGAACACGUAAGGUUGAAAUUCUGCUCAAUUUGUUCCUGUUAUUCAUUAUCUCAAUGAAAGGAAUGCCAUGCGAGGGAGAUCAGAAAUUUUCCUUUCAUUCUCCCUAAUCUGAGUCUAAAGAUAUCACCACCCUCUGAAAGGCUAACCCAACUAAAUCAGGAAAACUGAUGCUUCCAACGCCCAUUGCCUAGUACUCAAAUACGUUAAAACCAGCAUUGCAUGUUACCUAUGAGGGAAGACUCUAGUGUCUACAGUGUCCUUUAUAAUCCACUAAUCUAUAUUAUAGAAAUAAAGACGUUCCAUUUUCUCAUGUCAGACAAAAAUGUUGUUGAUCAGAAGUUGAACUCAUCUAAUUUUGACGAUGGCAAAAGCCUUGGAACUAUUAAUGGUUUCUAAGUGUUAGCCUUGAUAGAGCUUUGCGCACAUUGAUGGUCCUGUAAGGGCCAACAGUCGUCUGCCACUAAAGGGCCAACAUCUAUUCUGGUGUAAGAAGAAAAUCAAACUUAGUGUCGGACUGAAGACAAGUAUCAAGAUAUAGGUUCUAAAUUUCCCAGCUCUAUAAUGGAUUUAAGCAAUAAUAAGGUUUUAAUAGCAGUGGGUCAAGAUAAAAGAACUGAACAGCAUUCACAUUCUAUCCUAUCUAUAAUUAAUUAGCAUAUUCUACCCAAUCAGCAACAAUCCUUUACCA